Molecule: long non-coding RNA, 373 nt
Organism: Cydia splendana
Lineage: Eukaryota; Metazoa; Arthropoda; Insecta; Lepidoptera; Tortricidae
Exons: 3
Source: RefSeq, a predicted model, not a curated record
GUCAGUCUGAUAGGUACCUAUACUCUGUAUCUUUAGGUAUUUAAAUAAAAGUAAACAAAAUCUACCCUCAAAUGGCUCCUUAAGCCAGUUGAGGGUAGAUGAAAACAUUACAUGAUCAAAUAAUGUAGGUUAAAGUCAGGUCGUUCAGUGACAGAUCCAGGCGGUUUUGUAUUUGGUUGGUUAACCAAUAAAUGUUAUAACUACCCGAAAAUGUACAAAUUGUUUGUUUACUUUUAUUUAAAUACCUAAAGAUACAGACUAUAGCAUCGAGUAGCGGAACUAUCAGUACUGCUACUUGACAAUAGAUGUUGCAACGACCGAAAAGUCUAAUGCUCAACAAUUUUCAGCUAAUAAUUUAACCAGAUUAACCAGA